AAAAUCCUCUAAUAUUUGUAAAAAUUAAAAGAGAAAAAGUCUAAAUUAUAGAGAAAAAGAAUGUAUAUAUUAUCUUGUCAAUUGUUCCAAAGUAUUUUAUUCAAGCCAGAUCCUUUUACUGAAAGUCCAGCCAGUUGUGGUCUCACUAAAGUGGGACUGGUACUACUGGUUAACAGUUCUAUCCAUUAAUUGCAUGAAGUG
This 201-nucleotide unclassified non-coding RNA is filed under the name Hevea brasiliensis (rubber tree). The record is from RNAcentral. Lineage: Eukaryota; Viridiplantae; Streptophyta; Magnoliopsida; Malpighiales; Euphorbiaceae.